Molecule: ribosomal RNA, 503 nt
Filed under: Clostridium sp. ARIAKE994
Lineage: Bacteria; Bacillati; Bacillota; Clostridia; Eubacteriales; Clostridiaceae
Description: bacterial SSU rRNA
Rfam family: Bacterial small subunit ribosomal RNA
Source: RNAcentral
UCCUGGCUCAGGAUGAAAACGCUGGCGGCGUGCCUAACACAUGCAAAGUCGAACGAAGCAUGCAGGAAGAAGCCCUUCGGGGCGGGCGACUGGAUGACUGAGUGGCGGACGGGUGAGUAACGCGUGGGCAACCUGCCCAUACAGGGGGAUAACAGCCGGAAACGGCUGCUAAUACCGCAUAAACCAGGGAGGCGCAUGCCUUUGUGGGGAAAGCUCCGGCGGUAUGGGAGGGGCCCGCGUCUGAUUAGCUUGUUGGCGGGGCAGCGGCCCACCAAGGCGACGAUCAGUAGCCGGCCUGAGAGGGCGGACGGCCACAUUGGGACUGAGACACGGCCCAAACUCCUACGGGAGGCAGCAGUGGGGGAUAUUGCACAAUGGGGGAAACCCUGAUGCAGCGACGCCGCGUGGGCGAAGAAGUAUUUCGGGUAUGUAAAGCCCUAUCAGCAGGGAAGAAGAAAUGACGGUACCUGAGUAAGAAGCACCGGGCUAAAUACGUGCCAGCA